CGCACGGGUGAGUAAUGCAUAGGUAACGUGCCCCUUAGUCUGGGAUAGCCACUGGAAACGGUGAAUAAUACCGGAUACUCCCUCUAGCUUAAUGCUAGUCGGGAAAGUUUUUCGCUAAGGGAUCGGCCUAUGUUGUAUCAGGUAGUUGGUAGGGUAAUGGCCUACCAAGCCUAUGACACAUAGCGGGUCUGAGAGGAUGAUCCGCCACACUGGUACUGAGACACGGACCAG
This 231-nucleotide ribosomal RNA is filed under the name uncultured bacterium. Its description in RNAcentral is "partial 16S ribosomal RNA". It matches the Rfam family "Bacterial small subunit ribosomal RNA", at positions 99 to 334 of the family's 1533-position model. The record is from RNAcentral.